GAGUUAGAAGCAACAGCCAUGCAGACUGGGGCUGAGUGUCUGGCAGAAGUAGUGGGCCAACACACCUCAGUGCUGUGGUGAGGCAAACGCUGGUUCAGUGGUCUCCAGAAGUAGCCAGGGCACACAGGCCCAGGAGUGGUCAGUCAGUCAGUCCAUCCGAGCCCUUUGAGCAGAGAUGUAGUCAAGCAGCUGGCAAAGAUGAAAUUGGUCAGUCAGGUGCAGGCGCCACAGCCAGACAGAUACAGCUUGUCAGACACAGAUGGGGUCUGGUCGGUCAGGUUCAGUUAGACCGCCUGAAUCAGAUACACCCUGUCAGGCCCAGAUGUCCGUCAGCCAGGUAAACGCAGUCAACUGUGGUUAGGUGGACAGAUCUGGCAGUCUUGGUCUGUCAGGCACCCAUGAAAUCUGUGUGCCGUCACACAAAGGCAGACACACUCGAAUUAUCAGGCAGUGUUGGCGUCUGUAGCCUUCAGACACCGUGGGGUGGUCAGAUGUAGGCGGUCUGGCACGGAAGAAACCAGUCAGCCGCAGGCGUUGCCAUGGCAGCCGUGGACCAGAUCCCUGCCUGCCUGCCUGCUUGCCUGCUUACUGUCUGCUUACGGGUCCCUGAGCCCUCUGCUUUUCCGCACCGGCCCAGCCCCCGAUCCUCCUUCCUGGUCCGGGCAACCAGCGACUUCGGACGGCUCUCUCCUCUCUUCCUUUCUGGAAGAGCCCCAAGUUCCUGUUUGUUCCUCAUAUUUGGAGCCCACUUGUUAGCUGAAAGCCUACUGGAUUGAACUUGGGUUUAUAUCACCUCUACAACCAAAGGGUGCACCAUAUUACCUGACAUGGAGCAGAUACUUAGGAGAUGUCAGCUGAAUAAAACAGAAGUUCAGCUUUUCAUGGUGCUUCUUAUAUGACAUUACCAUCACAGGUACCAAAUAGACUUACUGGCUUCAACAGUUGGAAGUUCCUAUUAUGGCUGAUCAAACCAGAGAUCAGUCAGAUGCAGUACCAAUCAUCCCCAAUCAGGUUAGUGGAAUAGCAUAGGGUUCUUAUUCUCACCUUGGACAUGAGGUUUAUGAGACACUGGCCUCCAGAUGUGGGAAUAUAGUAUGUCUGGGUGCUGUUGGUGUAAUCUGCAUGGACUGGAAACCCAAGGACAGGCAGAAGGGCCUCUUGUAGGUGCCUUCUCAGCUGAACAUCAGGCCAGGGCCUGGUCCUUUUGUGCUAAUUCCCUGUGAGACAGGUAUUUGGUAGCUGAGGUGAGUUUCAGAGAGUCACGUAUUUUUCAAAUCUGGCUUAGGGAAAAAGAAGCAGGUGUUCUCCCAGCUCCAUACUUUAUGCCAGGCCAUGACUGGUUUUCAGGUACUAUAUCUACCACCGCUAGAGAUAAAAGCUGAAGCAGGUCCUUUUCUGUAAUUUAAGGUGGAUUCACCCAGAAAAGUCCAGGAAGUCAAGGCUCAGAAAGAGCUAAGAGACAAGGGCAGCACUCAGCAAAGCAGUUUUGGAGCCCCAGGGCAAAGCUAAAGAAAGUGUAGUCGAGGGCCCAGAAUUUAGCUCAGUGGUCCUACAGCCUGCCUCGCAAGCGUAAAAGUCCUGAGUUCGAUCCCCAGUACCCGCAAAAAGAGCAGUAAUGGAGGGCCAGGCCUACUAAGAUCAUGCCUCAAUUUGCACUAUGUACUGGCGUGGAAAAUGCACAGGACAAGACAUCAGAUGCCCCAGCUCUAAGUUCUGCCCACUGGCUAGAGACUUUGGCCAUCUGAGCUUGUCUAAGCCUCUGUUUCCUCAUCUAUAAAAUAAGGGGUUUGUUCUACUGGCUGGUUGAUGAAGUCUGCCUCUUCAGAUGUGGGAUUUUCAAAGCUGUAAGUUUGAUCAGUGGCAAAGCCAGGGCCAGAAGCUUCUAAGGAACCUCUGCUAAAAGGAACCGUAGUCUUGGAGAAAUUAGUAAUUCCAGGACUGCAGCUUAAAUACAAAAUUAUCCUGGAAUAUCUUGUGCAGGAAGGAAGGGAGUACACAAAGGAGGAUGGGGAUAUGUCAAAAGGACACAGAAGCCAGUUUAAAGUGGCUCCCACUUGCCAAAUCUAUGACAAUUUGAACAUCAAAAUAUAGAAAUAUUUGUAUGAUAAUACAGAUUAGAACACAAUGAAUAAAACAGGAAGCCAUAAUAAUGAAUGAAUAAAUAAAAAGUUUGAUGAGGUAUUUACAAAGUUUCAAACUAUCUCAUCACAAAAUACUAAAGGACAAAAUUAACAGAAUGAAAAGAUAACAUAAGAUAGAA
This 2260-nucleotide long non-coding RNA is filed under the name Fukomys damarensis (Damara mole-rat). Its description in RNAcentral is "lncRNA (ENSFDAG00000029251.1)". The record is from RNAcentral. Lineage: Eukaryota; Metazoa; Chordata; Mammalia; Rodentia; Bathyergidae.